AGCAGCGUCUACACUCCGGCUGCCGACACAGGCUAAGCGCCGCGCACACGCAGCGCUCUGCGGGCAGCCCGCCGCGCUCCGGAGAGAGCUCCGCCAGCUGCCGGAGACCCGCCCCCUGCCUCCAAGCGGCCAAUAGACACCCGUGGGGGGCGAAGCCCUCUGCCGCGAUUGGACAGAGCCGGUUGUCAAUCUCAUAGGCCACGGCGGGUUCGGCCCCUCCCUCCAGCCCCUCGCGGAACAGGUUGCUGCUGAGGGAAGAGGAGGAAUACCUUGUUUUUCUCCAGUUCUGGCUUUAAGAAUUGUGUUACAAAAGUAAGAGGGAAGCACCUGAAAUGGUCAGCCAUUUCAUUUUGGAGAAAUGUGAAAUCUAUCUGAAGCGUUUGCUGGGCAGAGGAAGUGCCAGCAGAGAAGGAGCACAGCGUAGAGACCAAUGGUUGUUUCCUGCAAAGAAGAGCAACACAGCAGCAGGACAUAAGGCAGUCUCUGCCGCAUGCUGAUCAGGCAGACCUUCAUUUUUGGCUCCAGCAUAAGAUGUAUGACUGGGAUCAGGAACCAUCUGAACAUUCAGAACAGAAGUCAUCUCCAUCAGGAACAAAUUAAUUGUGGAAGACACAUUCCUCACUUGCUGCUUACUCCUUGCAGGAAGCAUACCACUGCUGCAAGUUUUGAGUUCAUAGUAUGUUGCUUUCUGGAUACUGGAAAACUGUACAGGGCUCCAGUCUUGAUUUCCUUUGCCUACCCAAACUGGACCUGCCUUAGCAGAAUCAGAAUUGGAAUGAAGGCAGUGCCGCAAGCAGCCCUCUGACCAUACACAGCAUCUUCACAAGCCCCUCUGAUUCUUCACUGUGGAAUAAAGGCUUCCUAUGUUUUGUGGUCA
Molecule: long non-coding RNA, 877 nt
Filed under: Numida meleagris (helmeted guineafowl)
Lineage: Eukaryota; Metazoa; Chordata; Aves; Galliformes; Numididae
Description: lncRNA (ENSNMEG00000008939.1)
Source: RNAcentral